GAUCUGGCUGCAACAUCUGUCACUCCAUUGAUCAUGACGGUUGAUUUGGCUAACUAUGCGGGUGUCCCCUUC
This 72-nucleotide small nuclear RNA is filed under the name Oreochromis niloticus (Nile tilapia). RNAcentral's name for it is "7SK RNA". It matches the Rfam family "7SK RNA", at positions 13 to 93 of the family's 331-position model. Rfam says of the family: 7SK was discovered as an abundant small nuclear RNA in the mid-70s but a possible function has only recently been suggested. Lineage: Eukaryota; Metazoa; Chordata; Actinopteri; Cichliformes; Cichlidae. The record is from Rfam by way of RNAcentral.